RNAcentral lists this ribosomal RNA (503 nucleotides) under uncultured bacterium. Its description in RNAcentral is "bacterial SSU rRNA". It matches the Rfam family "Bacterial small subunit ribosomal RNA", at positions 791 to 1304 of the family's 1533-position model. The record is from RNAcentral.
UAGUCCACGCCCUAAACGAUGCUUACUCGACAUGUAUAUGCGUGUCCAAGGGAAACCAUUAAGUAAACCACCUGGGGAGUACGAUCGCAAGGUUGAAACUCAAAGGAAUUGACGGGGGCCCGCACAAGCGGUGGAGCAUGUGGAUUAAUUCGAUGAUACGCGAGGAACCUUACCUGGGCUUAAAUGGAAUCGGAUUGUCGCCGAAAGGUGUCGUUCUUUUUAGACUGAUUUCAAGGUGCUGCAUGGCUGUCGUCAGCUCGUGCCGUGAGGUGUUGGGUUAAGUCCCGCAACAAGCGCAACCCCUUUCUCUAGUUGCCAGCACAUAAUGGUGGGGACUCUAGAGAUACUGCCUACGUAAGUAGUGAGGAAGGUAGGGACGACGUCGAGUCAUCAUGGCCCUUACGUCCAGGGCUUCACACGUGCUACAAUGGUAGAUACAAAGAGUAGCCACUCAGCGAUGAGGAGCGAAUCUCAAAAAGUCUAAUCUCAGUUCGGAUCGGAGU